CCGCAACCCCUAUUGUUAGUUGCCAGUCAUUCAGUUGGGCACUCGUAGCGAGACGUGCCGGUAAUAAACCGGAGGAAGGUGGGAUGACGUCAAAUCAUCAUCGCCCCUUAUGACCUGGGCUACACACGUGCUACAAUGGUUGGUACAACGGAGUUGCGAGUCGGUGACGGCGAGCUAAUCCUCUUAAAGCCAAUCUCAGUUCGGAGUUGUAGGCCGCAACUCCGCCUACAUGAAGUCGGAAUCGCUAGUAAUCGCGGAUCAGCACGCCGCGGUGAAUACGUUCCCGGGCCUU
Molecule: ribosomal RNA, 292 nt
Filed under: uncultured Streptococcus sp.
Lineage: Bacteria; Bacillati; Bacillota; Bacilli; Lactobacillales; Streptococcaceae
Description: partial 16S ribosomal RNA
Rfam family: Bacterial small subunit ribosomal RNA
Source: RNAcentral